This 335-nucleotide ribosomal RNA is filed under the name Klebsiella pneumoniae. RNAcentral's name for it is "partial 23S ribosomal RNA". It matches the Rfam family "Bacterial large subunit ribosomal RNA", at positions 1 to 340 of the family's 2925-position model. The record is from RNAcentral. Lineage: Bacteria; Pseudomonadati; Pseudomonadota; Gammaproteobacteria; Enterobacterales; Enterobacteriaceae.
GGGCAUGCUAUCUGGUUUUGGUGGAUGCCUUGGGUCUGAAAGUCGAUGAAGGACUCGAUUACAUGCGAUAAGCUUCGUGGAGUUGGAAAUAAACUAUGAUACGGAGAUUUCCGAAUGGGGUAACCUAACUGAGCAAACCUCAGUUGCAUUUUGAUGAAUCCAUAGUCAAAUUAGCGAGACACGUUGCGAAUUGAAACAUCUUAGUAGCAACAGGAAAAGAAAAUAAAUAAUGAUUUCGUCAGUAGUGGCGAGCGAAAGCGAAAGAGCCCAAACCUGUAAAAAGGGGUUGUAGGACAUCUUACAUUGAGUUACAAAAUUUUAUGAUAGUAGAAGAA